UAUCAGUUGUGAUAUCAAAAC
This 21-nucleotide non-coding RNA is filed under the name Caenorhabditis elegans. Lineage: Eukaryota; Metazoa; Nematoda; Chromadorea; Rhabditida; Rhabditidae. The record is from RNAcentral.